RNAcentral lists this transfer RNA (71 nucleotides) under Macaca nemestrina (pig-tailed macaque). It matches the Rfam family "tRNA". Rfam says of the family: Transfer RNA (tRNA) molecules are approximately 80 nucleotides in length. Their secondary structure includes four short double-helical elements and three loops (D, anti-codon, and T loops). Lineage: Eukaryota; Metazoa; Chordata; Mammalia; Primates; Cercopithecidae. The record is from Rfam by way of RNAcentral. RNAcentral also lists the same sequence under 2 other names.
ACUUUUAAGGGAUAACAGUUAUCCAUUGGUCUUAGGAAACGAAUACGUUGGUGCAACUCCAAAUAAAAGUA